CUGUUAAGGGUUGUCCUGUGAAUACCGACCCCUGUUGAGUCGGCUGCCCCCGCGACCCGGUCCCGGAUAAGCGGAAGACGACGAACGAACGAACAUAAAAUUAACCUAUUCCUCCUCCUUCACCUGACCUCCACUUUUAAGGGAUUAGCUGUCAGACUCCAUCUGUCGAGACUCAGGACUGAAGACUCUGGAAGUUACCGCUGCGAUCUGGUUGCUGGGUAUAACCAGAUGUUGAGGAGAUGGGAGCUGAAGGCUUCAGUAAACUUUGUCCUCAACGUGACCAAAACGUCUCAUGGAGACAGUUCUGUGUCUCUGACCACACCAAAGCCGGAACACAUACAGACUUUAGGUGGCCCAGCUGUUACCAUGUCAACAACAGACGCCAUACUGGUUACAACAUUUCUCUAGGUAGUUUGUGCAGUCCUGGUUUUCCUUGGAUCACUUGAAGGAAAAUGCAAAGGUUUGUGUCAUUUAUUGUCUGUAAUGGAUCUAUUUUUUGUUGUUGUUCAGUGUUCGCUUCAGUGUCUUGUGAAUCCUACAGAUCUGACCAAGGAUUCAGAUGAAUUAGUGGACAUACGUAUAAAUAAGGGCUGCACGGUGGCGCAGUUGGUAGCACUGUUGCCUUGCAGCAAGAAGGUCCUGGGUUCGAUUCCCGACCAGGGGUCUUUCUGCAUGGAGUUUGCGAGUUCUCCCUGUGCAUGUGU
This is a long non-coding RNA of Girardinichthys multiradiatus, 704 nucleotides long. RefSeq lists it as uncharacterized. The record is from RefSeq and is a predicted model, not a curated record. The transcript is spliced from 3 exons. NCBI's taxonomy places the organism in Eukaryota, Metazoa, Chordata, Actinopteri, Cyprinodontiformes, Goodeidae.